This 253-nucleotide ribosomal RNA is filed under the name uncultured bacterium. RNAcentral describes it as "partial 16S ribosomal RNA". It matches the Rfam family "Bacterial small subunit ribosomal RNA", at positions 524 to 776 of the family's 1533-position model. The record is from RNAcentral.
UACGGAGGGGGCAAGCGUUGUUCGGAAUCAUUGGGCGUAAAGGGCGCGUAGGCGGCUUUGUAAGUCCGUUGUGAAAUCCCUCGGCUCAACCGAGGAACUGCGACGGAUACUGCUUGGCUUGAGUCCCGGAGAGGGUAGCGGAAUUCCCAGUGUAGCGGUGAAAUGCGUAGAUAUUGGGAGGAACAUCGGUGGCGAAGGCGACUCCCUGGACGGGUACUGACGCUGAGGCGCGAAAGCUUGGGGAGCAAACAGG